Molecule: ribosomal RNA, 600 nt
Filed under: Paenibacillus sp. 9(2013)
Lineage: Bacteria; Bacillati; Bacillota; Bacilli; Caryophanales; Paenibacillaceae
Description: bacterial SSU rRNA
Rfam family: Bacterial small subunit ribosomal RNA
Source: RNAcentral
AGCGGCGGACGGGUGAGUAACACGUAGGCAACCUGCCCACAAGACAGGGAUAACUACCGGAAACGGUAGCUAAUACCCGAUACAUCCUUUUCCUGCAUGGGAGAAGGAGGAAAGGCGGAGCAAUCUGUCACUUGUGGAUGGGCCUGCGGCGCAUUAGCUAGUUGGUGGGGUAAAGGCCUACCAAGGCGACGAUGCGUAGCCGACCUGAGAGGGUGAUCGGCCACACUGGGACUGAGACACGGCCCAGACUCCUACGGGAGGCAGCAGUAGGGAAUCUUCCGCAAUGGGCGAAAGCCUGACGGAGCAACGCCGCGUGAGUGAUGAAGGUUUUCGGAUCGUAAAGCUCUGUUGCCAGGGAAGAACGCUUUGGAGAGUAACUGCUCUUGAGGUGACGGUACCUGAGAAGAAAGCCCCGGCUAACUACGUGCCAGCAGCCGCGGUAAUACGUAGGGGGCAAGCGUUGUCCGGAAUUAUUGGGCGUAAAGCGCGCGCAGGCGGCUCUUUAAGUCUGGUGUUUAAUCCCGAGGCUCAACUUCGGGUCGCACUGGAAACUGGGGAGCUUGAGUGCAGAAGAGGAGAGUGGAAUUCCACGUGUAGCGG